GAUGAACGCUGGCGGCGUGCCUAAUACAUGCAAGUCGAGCGAACGGACGAGAAGCUUGCUUCUCUGAUGUUAGCGGCGGACGGGUGAGUAACACGUGGAUAACCUACCUAUAAGACUGGGAUAACUUCGGGAAACCGGAGCUAAUACCGGAUAAUAUUUUUAACCGCAAGGUUCAAGAGUGAAAGACGCUCUUGCUUUGACUUAUAGAUAGAUCCGCGCUGCAUUAGCUAUUUGGUAAGGUAACGCCUUACAAAGGCAACGAUCCAUAGCCGACCUGAGAGGGUGACCGCCCACACUGGAACUGAGACCCGCUCCAGCCUCUUACGGAAGGCAGCGUUAGGGAAUCUUGCGCAUAGGGCGAAAGCCUGCCGGAGCAACGCCGCGUGAGUGAUGAAGGUCUUCGGAUCGUAAAACUCUGUUAUUAGGAAAGAACAUAUGUGUAAGUAACUGUGCACAUCUUGACGGUACCUAAUCAGAAAGCCACGGCUAACUACGUG
RNAcentral lists this ribosomal RNA (497 nucleotides) under uncultured bacterium. RNAcentral describes it as "partial 16S ribosomal RNA". It matches the Rfam family "Bacterial small subunit ribosomal RNA", at positions 28 to 507 of the family's 1533-position model. The record is from RNAcentral.